UGCAGUCGNNCGGCAGCACGGACUUCGNGUCUGGUGGCGAGUGGCGAACGGGUGAGUAAUAUAUCGGAACGUAUCCAAUAAUGGGGGAUAACUAAUCGAAAGGUUGGCUAAUACCGCAUACGCCCUACGGGGGAAAGCUAGGGACCUUCGGGCCUGGCGUUAAUGGAGCGGCCGAUAUCUGAUUAGCUAGUUGGUGGGGUAAAGGCCCACCAAGGCGACGAUCAGUAGCUGGUCUGAGAGGACGACCAGCCACACUGGAACUGAGACACGGUCCAGACUCCUACGGGAGGCAGCAGUGGGGAAUUUUGGACAAUGGGCGCAAGCCUGAUCCAGCCAUUCCGCGUGAGUGAAGAAGGCCUUCGGGUUGUAAAGCUCUUUCGCAAGGGAAGAAAGAUUACUCUCUAACAUAGAGUGAUUAUGACGGUACCUUGAUAAGAAGCACCGGCUAACUACGUGCCAGCAGCCGCGGUAAUACGUAGGGUGCGAGCGUUAAUCGGAAUUACUGGGCGUAAAGCGUGCGCAGGCGGUUUUGUAAGUCAGAUGUGAAAUCCCCGAGCUCAACUUGGGAACUGCGUUUGANACUACAAGACUAGAAUAUGUCAGAGGGGGGUAGAAUUCCACGUGUAGCAGUGAAAUGCGUAGAGAUGUGGAGGAAUACCAAUGGCGAANGCNNNCCCCUGNNAUAAUAUUGACGCUCAUGCACGAAAGCGUGGGGAGCAAACAGGAUUAGAUACCCUGGUAGUCCACGCCCUAAACGAUGUCUACUANUUGUUGGUGGANUAAAAUCCAUGANUAA
RNAcentral lists this ribosomal RNA (796 nucleotides) under uncultured bacterium. RNAcentral describes it as "bacterial SSU rRNA". It matches the Rfam family "Bacterial small subunit ribosomal RNA", at positions 56 to 846 of the family's 1533-position model. The record is from RNAcentral.